GGAGAGGUGUCCGAGUGGCUUAAGGAGCACGCUUGGAAAGCGUGUGUGAGUUAAUCCGUACCGUGGGUUCGAAUCCCACCCUCUCCGCCA
Molecule: transfer RNA, 90 nt
Filed under: Planctomycetota bacterium
Lineage: Bacteria; Pseudomonadati; Planctomycetota
Description: Planctomycetes bacterium (marine metagenome) tRNA-Ser
Rfam family: tRNA
About the family: Transfer RNA (tRNA) molecules are approximately 80 nucleotides in length. Their secondary structure includes four short double-helical elements and three loops (D, anti-codon, and T loops). Further hydrogen bonds mediate the characteristic L-shaped molecular structure. tRNAs have two regions of fundamental functional importance: the anti-codon, which is responsible for specific mRNA codon recognition, and the 3' end, to which the tRNAs corresponding amino acid is attached (by aminoacyl-tRNA synthetases). tRNAs cope with the degeneracy of the genetic code in two manners: having more than one tRNA (with a specific anti-codon) for a particular amino acid; and 'wobble' base-pairing, i.e. permitting non-standard base-pairing at the 3rd anti-codon position.
Source: RNAcentral